CGUGUAGGCGGCCAGACAGGUCCGUUGUGGAAACUCGAGGCUCAACCUCGAGACGCCGAUGGAAACCGUCUGGCUAGAGUCCGGAAGAGGAGAGUGGAAUUCCUGGUGUAGCGGUGAAAUGCGCAGAUAUCAGGAAGAACACCCGUGGCUAAGGCGGCUCUCUAGUACGGUACUGACGCUGAGACGCGAAAGCGUGGGGAGCGAACA
RNAcentral lists this ribosomal RNA (207 nucleotides) under uncultured bacterium. Its description in RNAcentral is "partial 16S ribosomal RNA". It matches the Rfam family "Bacterial small subunit ribosomal RNA", at positions 568 to 774 of the family's 1533-position model. The record is from RNAcentral.